Molecule: long non-coding RNA, 533 nt
Filed under: Vitis vinifera (wine grape)
Lineage: Eukaryota; Viridiplantae; Streptophyta; Magnoliopsida; Vitales; Vitaceae
Description: long non-coding RNA (VVIN_LNC005290)
Source: RNAcentral
CGCGAGCCCACACUUCUGAGCUACCACCCUUCUCCCACCAUUACCUCCACCUACCUCCCUCCCUCCCCCUCUCUUAUUUAUCUCUCUCCCUCUCUCUCCUCUCUUUAAGUUCCACACCCUUCUCUCUCUCUCUCUCUCUCUCUCUCUCUCUCUCUCUCUCUCUGUGCCACCAUGAUCUCCAUUGAAACCCAAAACCCGGAUGUUUCCAACCUUGACACUAGUCACUCUAUCCCCAAAAUGGCCAAUCGAAUUGACGACCAUGUUUUCAGAUCAAAACUCCCUGAAAUUCCCAUCUCCAACCACCUCCCUCUCCACACCUACUGCUUUGAAAACUACUCCCAAUUCGCCGAUCGUCCAUGCUUGAUCGUCGGAUCCACCAACAAAACCUACUCCUUUGCAGAAACCCACCUCAUUUCUCGCAAAGUCGGAGCUGGGUUCGCCCACCUCGGCCUCAAACAGGGAGACGUCGUCAUGAUCCUCCUCCAGAACUGCGCCGAAUUCGCGUUCUCCUUUCUCGGAGCUUCCAUGGUCGG